RNAcentral lists this transfer RNA (71 nucleotides) under Stegodyphus mimosarum. It matches the Rfam family "tRNA". Rfam says of the family: Transfer RNA (tRNA) molecules are approximately 80 nucleotides in length. Their secondary structure includes four short double-helical elements and three loops (D, anti-codon, and T loops). Further hydrogen bonds mediate the characteristic L-shaped molecular structure. tRNAs have two regions of fundamental functional importance: the anti-codon, which is responsible for specific mRNA codon recognition, and the 3' end, to which the tRNAs corresponding amino acid is attached (by aminoacyl-tRNA synthetases). tRNAs cope with the degeneracy of the genetic code in two manners: having more than one tRNA (with a specific anti-codon) for a particular amino acid; and 'wobble' base-pairing, i.e. permitting non-standard base-pairing at the 3rd anti-codon position. The record is from Rfam by way of RNAcentral. Lineage: Eukaryota; Metazoa; Arthropoda; Arachnida; Araneae; Eresidae.
GCCUUUAUAGUGUAACGGUAGCACACUCGGCGCGUAUUCAAGAGGUCUAGGUUCGAGUCCUGGCAAGGACA